UAGGGAAUCUUCGGCAAUGGGGGCAACCCUGACCGAGCAACGCCGCGUGAGUGAAGAAGGGUUUCGGCUCGUAAAGCUCUGUUGUUAAAGAAGAACACGUAUGAGAGUAACUGUUCAUACGUUGACGGUAUUUAACCAGAAAGUCACGGCUAACUACGUGCCAA
Molecule: ribosomal RNA, 164 nt
Filed under: uncultured bacterium
Lineage: Bacteria
Description: partial 16S rRNA
Rfam family: Bacterial small subunit ribosomal RNA
Source: RNAcentral